Non-coding RNA from Oryzias melastigma (Indian medaka), 309 nucleotides. RefSeq annotates it as small Cajal body-specific RNA 2. The transcript has a single exon. NCBI's taxonomy places the organism in Eukaryota, Metazoa, Chordata, Actinopteri, Beloniformes, Adrianichthyidae. The record is from RefSeq and is a predicted model, not a curated record.
GCGUGUGUGAGCGAGAGCGAUUGAUUGAGUGAAUGUUUGUGUGUGUUGUUUUUUGUUUAAUGUAAAAUCCUACACACUGAUCUUAUUUGAUCCGGCCAGAGUUUGGCUCUGCUCCGGCUGGAGAUGAUAGGAAAAGCGCUCGCGAGCCCCCGUGGCCAUGAGACGCCGGCGACGAAAAGCUAAAGGGCUACCACGCUUCGUGCUGUGGUCAGAAGUGAUGAAUUGAUCAGAUAUACUAGUUCUUUGUGAGCUUGUGGUUCGCCUCAGGUUUCACGCUGGACGAUGAGUACAGAAGCGAUUCUGAUCUAA